AUGAACGCUGGCGGCGUGCCUAAUACAUGCAAGUCGAGCGAACAGAUAAGGAGCUUGCUCCUUUGACGUUAGCGGCGGACGGGUGAGUAACACGUGGGUAACCUACCUAUAAGACUGGGAUAACUUCGGGAAACCGGAGCUAAUACCGGAUAACAUUUGGAACCGCAUGGUUCUAAAGUGAAAGAUGGUUUUGCUAUCACUUAUAGAUGGACCCGCGCCGUAUUAGCUAGUUGGUAAGGUAACGGCUUACCAAGGCGACGAUACGUAGCCGACCUGAGAGGGUGGUCGGCCACACUGGAACUGAGACACGGUCCAGACUCCUACGGGAGGCAGCAGUAGGGAAUCUUCCGCAAUAGGCGAAAGCCUGACGGAGCAACGCCGCGUGAGUGAUGAAGGGUUUCGGCUCGUAAAACUCUGUUAUUAGGGAAGAACAAAUGUGUAAGUAACUGUGCACGUCUUGACGGUACCUAAUCAGAAAGCCACGGCUAACUACGUG
This 496-nucleotide ribosomal RNA is filed under the name uncultured bacterium. Its description in RNAcentral is "partial 16S ribosomal RNA". It matches the Rfam family "Bacterial small subunit ribosomal RNA", at positions 29 to 507 of the family's 1533-position model. The record is from RNAcentral.